This 465-nucleotide ribosomal RNA is filed under the name uncultured bacterium. RNAcentral describes it as "partial 16S ribosomal RNA". It matches the Rfam family "Bacterial small subunit ribosomal RNA", at positions 338 to 795 of the family's 1533-position model. The record is from RNAcentral.
CCUACGGGGCGCAGCAGUAGGGAAUCUUCCACAAUGGGCGAAAGCCUGAUGGAGCAACGCCGCGUGGGUGAAGAAGGUCUUCGGAUCGUAAAACCCUGUUGUUAGAGAAGAAAGUGCGUGAGAGUAACUGUUCACGAUUCGACGGUAUCUAACCAGAAAGCCACGGCUAACGACGUGCAAGCAGCCGCGGGAAUACUUAGGUGGCAAGCGUUGUACGGAUUUAUUGGGCGUAAAGGGAACGCAGGCUGUCUGUUAAGUCUGAUGUGAAAGCCUUCGGCUUAAACGGAGUUGUGUAUUGUAAACUGGGAGACUUGACUGCAGAAGAGGAGAGUGGAACGCCAUGUGUAGCGGGGAAAUGCGUAGAUAUCUGGAAGAACACCAGUGGCGAAAGCGGCUCUCUGGUCUGUAACUGACGCUGAGGUUCGAAAGCGUGGGUAGCAAACAGGAUUAGAUACCCUAGUAGUC